This 47-nucleotide small nuclear RNA is filed under the name Cervus elaphus hippelaphus. Lineage: Eukaryota; Metazoa; Chordata; Mammalia; Artiodactyla; Cervidae. The record is from RNAcentral.
AAGAGUAUACUUUCAGGGAUCAUUUCUAUAGUUCAUGUUGCAAAAGA